GGGAACGGGAGAGAAAGGGAAUGUACGCUAGGCAUACGGAAACCUGCCGUCUGAUUAUUUAGCAUUUUUGUUCAUAUCAAAACAUAGACAUUUGUGAUUUAGAGAGUUGAUAAUAAGGUUUUUAUAGUAACAAGGACUUACUUAAAAACGUCUAUAAAAAAACAUUAUUUCUGGGUGCCUCGUGUCAUGGACGAAGGGAGAGAUUGAAACAUGGCGUCCAUAGUUCUAAAAGAUUUAUCGUCGAGGUGGCACAGUCACUCUCCGACACAGGAAGGAAACCGUGUUGGAGACACAAGGAUGCUGCAUGACGUAGCGAACAACCUCUCUUCAAGCACGACAGCAAUUGGUCUAAUUGGAGUGAUGGUCACACUAUGAUCAGACUCUGGAAGGUUGUCCUGUACAACACUGGUAACAGACAAAUCAUCUAAUCCUCCAACAAUGUACUAGGCCAUCUGGCUCAGACAAUCAACUAAUAUUGGCAUAGCUGGACCUGGAAGUCUUCACCAGUCCAACCACCAUCUCCUGACCCUGCUGUUUGUUUUGAGCGACGCAGAGGGUGAUUUGGGCCAGGACAGAGUACAGUCUGCGGUGUACCUAACAAGCUGGAUAGGAAGCCUAUGGGACUGCCUGUCUUUUUGCAGACCAGUAUUGGCUGCAAAUGAUGAGUGUGUAAAGCUUGGGCUACGUUUUGUGUGUGUGUGUGUGUGAAUGUACAAGGUUGAGCACACAUUGGUGAAUAAGAAAGCCAAACACCAAGAUUGAGGCAGGCCUGGCUAACAAGCUGUGCUGUGCUAAGAGGCUCAGAACAAAACUCUUGUUGUUGGCUGUCCAGAUGGAUCCUGGUGGAUGGACAAUGGAUGAUGCCUGAUAGGACAGCUAGGUCUGAGUACAGCCAAGACCCCCCCCCCCCAUAUAGCCACUAUAGCCAGCUCUGAUCCUGCAACCUGGCCAGAUUCAGGCCUGGGACCACUAGGGGAUCUGACUCCCUUCAUUAUCUGUGGCUUCGCUAUCUCAAACUAGGUUUGUGUUAUGAGCUACUGCUGUUGCUGCGGCUGCUGUUCCUGUUGCCACGGUUUCUGUCUCUGGUAGCAUGCCUCUUCCUCUGACAGAACAUUUUCCAGGUAGCAAGCUAACACAAGCCAGCUAGACUCAAAGGGACAUGAGGAAACACAGGUUGGUGUGUGGUACGAAUGCUUGUUUCAAUCUGCCAUCUCUUUAUUUUUUUUAUUUUUUUAUCUUCUUGCUCUCAGCCACUCAGUCUCUCUCUCAGCCACGCUGUCUGUCUCUCUCUCAGCCACGCUGUCUGUCUCCACUCUCUCUCAGCCACUGUCUCUCUCAGCUACUCUCUCUCUCUCGGUCUGUAUUAUGUCUGUUAAUAUCAUCCUACUAAAUACACUACAUGACCAAAAGUAUGUGGGCAUCUGCUCGUCAAACAUCUCAUUCCAAAAUCAUGGGCAUUAAAAUGGAGUUUAUCCCUCCCCCUUUGCUGCUAUAACAGCUUCAACUCUGGGAAGCCUUUCCACUAGAUGUUGGAACAUUGCUGCGGGAACUUACAUCCAUUCGGCCACGAGCAUUAGUGAGGUAGGGCACUGAUGUUGGGCGAUUAGGCCUAUCUCGCAGUCGGCGUUCCAAUUCAUCCCAAAGGUGUUCGAUGAAAUUGAGGUCUGUGCAGGCCAGUCAAGUUCUUCCUCACCGAUCUUGACAAAUGAUUUCUGUAUGGACCUCGUGUUGUGCACGGGGGCAUUGCCAUGCUGAAACAGAAAGGGGCCUUCCCCAAACUGUUACCACAAAGUUGGAAGCACAGAAUCGUCUAGAAUGUCAUUGUAUGCUGUAGCAUUAAGAUUUCCUUCCAUUGGAACUAAGAGGCCUAGCCCGAACCAUGAAAAACAGCCCCAGACCAUUAAUCCGCCUCCACCAAACUUAAAUUGGCAUUAUGCAUUCGGGUAGGUAGCGUUCUCCUGGCAUCUGCCAAAUCCAGAUUUGUCCGUCGGACUGCCAGAUGGUGAAGCGUGAUUUUUCACUCCAGAAAAUGCGUUUCCACUGCUCUAGAGUCUAAUGGCGGUGAGCUUUACACCACUCCAGUUGACGCUUGGCAGUGAGCACACUGAACUUAGGCUUGUGUGCGGCUGCUCGGCCAUCGAGACCCAUUUCAUGAAGCUCCCGACGAACAGUUCUCGUGCUGAUGUUGCUUCCAGAGGCAGUUUGGAACUCCAUAAUGAGUUUGCAACUGAGGACAGACAAUUUUUAUGCACUUCAGCGCUCGAUGGUCCCAUUCAGUGAGCUUGUGCGGCCUACCACUUUGUGUCUGAGCCGUUGUUGCUCCUAGACGUUUCCACAAAAACAGCACCUACAGUUGACCGGGGCAGCUCUAGCAGGGCAGAAAUUUGACCAACUGACCUGGAAAUGUGGCAUCCUAUAACGGUGCCACAUUGAAAGUCAUGGAGCUCUUCAGUACAAGCCAUUCUAAUGCAAAUGUUUUUCUAUGGCGAUUGCUUGGCUAUGUGCUACAUUUUAUUCAUCUGUCAGCAACGGGUGUGGCUGAAAUAGCGAAAUCCACUAAUUUGAAGGGGUGUCCACAUACUCAUGUGUGUGUAGUGUAUGUCACAUUUUCAUUUAUGAAGAAAAGAAAUGACCGCUUCAGGGACUCGUUUCAGGAUUCCUCAGUGAUUCAUAUAUGCAUUGUGUGCUCUGAAAAAAAAAAAAAAAGCAUAAACAUCUCUCCUAUUGCAUAUGUAGCACUUAAACAGCUACAGUACUUAUCCCUUUAAACAUUUGUGGCAUUAGCAGGGCGAUUCCUAAAGAGACUUGACCUGGGUAAUAAAGCUUGUUCUGAUCUAUUAAGCCUCAUUAUCCGGAAGAUGGGUAGGUUAUGCAGGAGGGAUGGAAAGAAUGAGGGAGGGAGGGAUGGAAAGAAUG
This 2916-nucleotide long non-coding RNA is filed under the name Salmo salar (Atlantic salmon). RNAcentral's name for it is "lncRNA (ENSSSAG00000090938.1)". Lineage: Eukaryota; Metazoa; Chordata; Actinopteri; Salmoniformes; Salmonidae. The record is from RNAcentral.